GGGGAAUUUUGGACAAUGGGGGCAACCCUGAUCCAGCCAUGCCGCAUGAGUGAAGAAGGCCUUCGGGUUGUAUAGCUCUUUCGGACGGAAAGAAAACGGAUGGGUUAAUAUCCUGCGCGGAUGACGGUACCUUGACAAGAAGCACCGGCUAACUACGUGCCAGCAGCCGCGGUAAUACGUAGGGUGCGAGCGUUAAUCGGAAUUACUGGGCGUAAAGCGUGCGCAGGCGGUUGUGUAAGACAGGUGUGAAAUCCCCGGGCUUAACCUGGGAACUGCGCUUGUGACUGCACGGCUACAGUACGGCAGAGGGGGGUGGAAUUCCUGGUGUAGCAGUGAAAUGCGUAGAUAUCAGGAGGAACACCGACGGCGAAGGCAGCCCCCUGGGCCUGUACUGACGCUCAUGCACGAAAGCGUGGCGAGCAAACA
This 426-nucleotide ribosomal RNA is filed under the name uncultured Azoarcus sp. RNAcentral describes it as "bacterial SSU rRNA". It matches the Rfam family "Bacterial small subunit ribosomal RNA", at positions 356 to 774 of the family's 1533-position model. Lineage: Bacteria; Pseudomonadati; Pseudomonadota; Betaproteobacteria; Rhodocyclales; Zoogloeaceae. The record is from RNAcentral.